AGAUGUGAGGGCGAUCUGGCUGCGGCAUGUGUCACCCCAUUGAUCGCCAGGGUUGAUUCGGCUGAUCUGGCUGGCUAGGCGGGUGUCCCCUUCCUCCCUCACCCCUCCAUGUGCAUCCCUCACAAAGCCGCACGCUCGGUCAAAGAGGACGGCCUUCCCCGAACAGAGACGGACCCGCUUUCGGUCAAGGGUAUACGAGUAGCUGCGCUCCCCUACUAGAACCUCCAAACAAGCUCUCUAGUUGUCUCUCCUCCCAGAUAUCCUCAACAGAGUAGUGCUUGGCUGUGGGUUCAGUUCAUUUUUAUUUAUUUAUUUAUUUAUUUAUUUAUU
This 330-nucleotide small nuclear RNA is filed under the name Erinaceus europaeus (western European hedgehog). RNAcentral's name for it is "7SK RNA". It matches the Rfam family "7SK RNA". From Rfam's summary of the family: 7SK was discovered as an abundant small nuclear RNA in the mid-70s but a possible function has only recently been suggested. Two independent studies have found that 7SK RNA binds the CDK9/cyclin T complex (known as elongation factor P-TEFb). P-TEFb activates transcription by phosphorylating the C-terminal domain of RNA polymerase II. The record is from Rfam by way of RNAcentral. Lineage: Eukaryota; Metazoa; Chordata; Mammalia; Eulipotyphla; Erinaceidae.